This 253-nucleotide ribosomal RNA is filed under the name uncultured bacterium. RNAcentral's name for it is "partial 16S ribosomal RNA". It matches the Rfam family "Bacterial small subunit ribosomal RNA", at positions 524 to 776 of the family's 1533-position model. The record is from RNAcentral.
UACGUAGGGCGCAAGCGUUGUCCGGAAUUAUUGGGCGUAAAGAGCUCGUAGGCGGCCUGUUGCGUCCGCUGUGAAAUCCCGGGGCUUAACCCCGGGCGUGCAGUGGAUACGGGCGGGCUGGAGGCAGGCAGGGGAGAACGGAAUUCCUGGUGUAGCGGUGAAAUGCGCAGAUAUCAGGAGGAACACCGGUGGCGAAGGCGGUUCUCUGGGCCUGUUCUGACGCUGAGGAGCGAAAGCGUGGGGAGCGAACAGG